GCCCCUAUCGUCUAGUGGCCUAGGACGUAGCCCUCUCAAGGCUAAAACACGGGUUCGACUCCCGUUAGGGGUA
Molecule: transfer RNA, 73 nt
Filed under: Zavarzinella sp.
Lineage: Bacteria; Pseudomonadati; Planctomycetota; Planctomycetia; Gemmatales; Gemmataceae
Also listed under: 2 other names
Description: tRNA-Glu
Rfam family: tRNA
About the family: Transfer RNA (tRNA) molecules are approximately 80 nucleotides in length. Their secondary structure includes four short double-helical elements and three loops (D, anti-codon, and T loops).
Source: RNAcentral